Molecule: long non-coding RNA, 2255 nt
Organism: Arvicola amphibius (Eurasian water vole)
Lineage: Eukaryota; Metazoa; Chordata; Mammalia; Rodentia; Cricetidae
Exons: 4
Source: RefSeq, a predicted model, not a curated record
UGUAACAUGAACUGCACCACGCUUUCUUCUGAGAACUGCUGGGGAGUCCGCUGAGAGCACAAUCUCAGCGUUGAGGGUUCUGGUGGCCCCUGAUGGCCGGAUCCUGUGAAGAGGCCGUUUCAUUUGGCUAGAGAAGUGUUUAAAUGAAUGAAUGGAAGCGUCCUGUUGGUGGGCACACUCCACCGUGUCGGGUUGUGCUAUGUGCUUGUGUCUGUGUCACCUGCUUGACUCCCGAAGACAAACGUGUCCUGUACCUUGUAAAACGGUUGUGCUGGGUAACACUCGGUGGCCGAGCCACGCGACUGAGGGCAGCCUGUGAACCGGACGCCGUAUGGACAGCGCGGCUCGGCUCCCUGACGAGAACACAAUGGAACAACCAAAUCCAGGGUGUGUUUGGUUGCGUCACGGUGGAGACAUUUCUUAGCCUACCUGAACCUGAGGGUUUUCACCUGUAAAACACACAUCAUACCGUAGAGUGCCUUGCAUUAUACAAGAGAAGAAGUAACUUUGCCUGGGAAACACUGGACACCUAGCUGGGAAGAGCGGCGACCUUGGUUGCUAGUGUGAGUAUCUGCUCUGGUCCCGUUUCUGUUGCUUUCACAAAAGGCUUAAUAAAAAGCAGCUUGUUGGACAAAGUCUAGUUUAGCUCAGAGUUCCCGGCUACAGUCCCUCAUGAUAGGGAAGUGGGAACUUAAAACAGCUGGUCACAUGACACCCACAGAGAGCCACUAAUGCAUGUGUGUUUACUGCCCAGCUCGCUCUGUCUACUCUCAUGCAGUCCAGGACCCAAACCCUGGGACCGGUGUUGGCCACAGAGGGCAACGAUCUCUUACUGGGACUCUCUGCUGAGUGAUUUUGGAUUGUGUUAAGAAUUAUGGACUGAGCAGUGCCCUUCUCUAAACUCCUAUGUGGAAGCUCCAACCUCCAGUCCCUCAGAGUGAGACUAAAGAGGCCUUAAAGGAGUUGACUAAGGGAACACCAUGGAUGUUUUUUCAUCUAACACGUCCUUGGGAGGAGGAAUUUGGAUACAGACAGAUCCAGAGGGAAGACCAUGGAGAGACAUGUAGAGAAGACAGCUGGAGACAUCUCAGAAGACAGGACCCAGGCUACCACCUUGCAUUUUGUAACGAUUUAUUCAUUUUUUAUUUUGCGUGUGUGGGUGUUUUGUCUGCCUAUAUGUCUAAGCACCAUGCAUGUUCCUGGUACCUGUGGAGGCCGGAAGUUUUGGAUCCCAUGGAACUGGAGUUACAGGUGAUUGUUAGCUACCACGCGGGUGCCGGGAACUGAGCCUUCUAGAUGAAGCAGCCAGUGCUCGUAACCACCAGGCCACAUCUCCAGCUCCUCCUGCUGCCAUCUUGGGCCUGGACAUCCAGAACUGUGGAGAAGCAAGCUGCUGUUGUGUUACAUCCGGUCUAUGGUGUCUCACUCCAGCUGAGGGUGAGAGAACAAGAAGCAGGCCAGAGAAUGACACGCUUAGACACUAGGCUGCUGGCCGGUGAGGAGGUGGUGAGGAGAGGGAUGCCUUUCUGUGCUGUGUAGGAUCAUGGAGAUUGCAUGACCAGACCUCUGGGCUCUGCCGAAAGGAUGUAACCAAUGGUACAUCACGUUUCUGUUCCACUUGGCUUUCCCUGCCCAGUCUAUGUGUUGACAUUCAUAAAAACAAAACAACAACAAAAAUAACAGGCAAGGAUCGUGUGGAGUAAGCCCAGCAGACUGUCUUGGUCGUCAAUGGCAUUUAGGACGAUAUUGUCACUACUGGGAUGUGAGAGGAGUGAGCACGAAGCAGCCCAAGGUUUCUUGCUAGCUUUGCUUUUAAUUUGGGACAGGAAAGCUGGGGCUAGUCUCGAGUUACACACCAGGUGCUUGGUUAUGCUUCAUUAUCCACAGUUGCCGAAACAAGGAAGGGCUAGAUACCCAUCAGCACGUAGAUGGGUAAAAAAAUUGGGUACAUAUAAGCAUUCCUCUAUCUCGGAGUCAGUUUCCACAUUUUUCCCCCCAGUAAUGGACACAACAAGCCUAUGAUAAACUGCUUGGCUUACCAAUAGGGUGGCGCAAUGAAACAAAAUCAUGGGGAGUAACACGGUAGACCGGAGAGAUGGUUUAGUGGGUAAAGGAACUUGCCACCAAACCUCAUGAGACCUGAGUUGGGUCCCCGAACCCAAAUAUUGGAAGGAGAGAACCAGCUCCCGAAAGCUGUACUCUGACCUCCACCCUUGAGGGAUAGCACCCCACCCACAUAAAAAAAUAAAUGUAUU